AGGGCGUAUCCCGAAAAGCCUGUAAUAGAGUAGGGA
RNAcentral lists this non-coding RNA (36 nucleotides) under unclassified sequences. RNAcentral's name for it is "DUF805b RNA". It matches the Rfam family "DUF805b RNA". Rfam says of the family: Bacteroidetes, Chlorobi (1 example), Proteobacteria. Lineage (Flavobacteria) The record is from RNAcentral.